UACGGAGGAUGCAAGCGUUAUCCGGAAUGAUUGGGCGUAAAGCGUCCGCAGGUGGCUGUGUAAGUCUGCUGUCAAAGAGCAAAGUUCAACUUUGUAAAGGCAGUGGAAACUACACGGCUAGAGUGCGUUCGGGGCAGAGGGAAUUCCUGGUGUAGCGGUGAAAUGCGUAGAGAUCAGGAAGAACACCGGUGGCGAAGGCGCUCUGCUAGGCCGCAACUGACACUGAGGGACGAAAGCUAGGGGAGCGAAUGGG
This 253-nucleotide ribosomal RNA is filed under the name uncultured bacterium. Its description in RNAcentral is "partial 16S ribosomal RNA". It matches the Rfam family "Bacterial small subunit ribosomal RNA", at positions 524 to 776 of the family's 1533-position model. The record is from RNAcentral.